RNAcentral lists this ribosomal RNA (388 nucleotides) under uncultured bacterium. Its description in RNAcentral is "bacterial SSU rRNA". It matches the Rfam family "Bacterial small subunit ribosomal RNA", at positions 28 to 411 of the family's 1533-position model. The record is from RNAcentral.
GACGAACGCUGGCGGCGUGCUUAACACAUGCAAGUCGAGCGGUAAGGCCCUUUCGGGGGUACACGAGCGGCGAACGGGUGAGUAACACGUGGGUGACCUGCCCCUUAGCGUCUGGGGAUAAGCCUGGGGAAAACUGGGUCUAAUACCGGAUAUGACUCCAUGACGCAUGUUGUGGGGUGGAAAGCCUUGUGCGGCUAGGGAUGGGCCCGCGGCCUAUCAGCUUGUUGGUGGGGUGAUGGCCUACCAAGGCGACGACGGGUAGCCGGCCUGAGAGGGCGACCGGCCACACUGGGACUGAGACACGGCCCAGACUCCUACGGGAGGCAGCAGUGGGGAAUCUUGCGCAAUGGGGCGAAAGCCUGACGCAGCGACGCCGCGUGAGGGAUGA